RNAcentral lists this non-coding RNA (31 nucleotides) under Mus musculus (house mouse). The record is from RNAcentral. Lineage: Eukaryota; Metazoa; Chordata; Mammalia; Rodentia; Muridae.
UAAUAACACUGCUAGUUGAUUUAACAAUAAA